AGAGUUUGAUCAUGGCUCAGAAUCAACGCUGGCGGCGUGCCUAACACAUGCAAGUCGAGCGAGAAAAGGGGGGCAACUCCCUGAGUACAGCGGCGCACGGGUGAGUAACACGUGGGUAAUCUGCCCUGGAGUGGGGAAUAACACCGGGAAACCGGUGCUAAUACCGCAUACGAUCAUGAUGUCUGCGGACGUUGUGAUGAAAGGAGCAAUUCGCUCCAGGAGGAGCCCGCGGCUGAUUAGCUAGUUGGUGAGGUAACGGCUCACCAAGGCGACGAUCAGUAUCCGGUCUGAGAGGACGGUCGGACACACUGGAACUGAGACACGGUCCAGACUCCUACGGGAGGCAGCAGUGGGGAAUUUUUGGCAAUGGGGGAAACCCUGACCAAGCAACGCCGCGUGGGUGAUGAAGUCCCUUGGGACGUAAAACCCUUUCGACGGGGAAGAAACCGCAAGGUUGACGGUACCCGUAGAGGAAGCCCCGGCUAACUCCGUGCCAGCAGCCGCGGUAAUACGGGGGGGGCAAGCGUUGUUCGGAAUUACUGGGCGUAAAGGGUGCGUAGGCGGUGCUCUAAGUCGGAUGUGAAAACUCUGGGCUCAACCCAGAGCCUGCAUCCGAAACUGGAGUGCUAGAGUUCUGGAGGGGGUAGCGGAAUUCCUGGUGUAGCGGUGAAAUGCGUAGAUAUCAGGAGGAACACCGGUGGCGAAGGCGGCUACCUGGACAGAAACUGACGCUGAGGCACGAAAGCUAGGGGAGCAAACAGGAUUAGAUACCCUAGUAGUCC
RNAcentral lists this ribosomal RNA (782 nucleotides) under uncultured bacterium. Its description in RNAcentral is "bacterial SSU rRNA". It matches the Rfam family "Bacterial small subunit ribosomal RNA", at positions 8 to 796 of the family's 1533-position model. The record is from RNAcentral.